RNAcentral lists this transfer RNA (77 nucleotides) under Soehngenia longivitae. Its description in RNAcentral is "Soehngenia sp. 1933P tRNA-Pro". It matches the Rfam family "tRNA". Rfam says of the family: Transfer RNA (tRNA) molecules are approximately 80 nucleotides in length. Their secondary structure includes four short double-helical elements and three loops (D, anti-codon, and T loops). Lineage: Bacteria; Bacillati; Bacillota; Tissierellia; Tissierellales; Tissierellaceae. The record is from RNAcentral.
CGGGGUGUGGCGCAGUCUGGUAGCGCACAAGUCUGGGGGACUUGGGGCCGGAGGUUCAAAUCCUCUCACUCCGACCA